This 267-nucleotide small RNA is filed under the name Phascolarctos cinereus (koala). RNAcentral describes it as "7SK RNA (ENSPCIG00000001865.2)". Lineage: Eukaryota; Metazoa; Chordata; Mammalia; Diprotodontia; Phascolarctidae. The record is from RNAcentral.
GUAGGUGAAGGUCAUAUGACUCUAACAUAUGUCACCCCAGUGACUGCCAAGGUAGAUCUAUGGCAGUCUGUUUCCCCUUCCUCUCUGCUUCAUGUGUGUUUUUCCAGACAGUCCUUUUUCAAAGAGGAAGACCUUCCCUGAUCCUCAUACCAUUCUUUGGGCAAGGACACAGAAGGAGCAGCUUUUACCUGCCGCAACAAAGAAGGGUACUAAUACCUCCCCCCAAAAAAAGGCUGAGAAGACACUAGUAGUUAUCUGCCUAUAUGU